This is a long non-coding RNA of Zingiber officinale, 277 nucleotides long. RefSeq lists it as uncharacterized. Lineage: Eukaryota; Viridiplantae; Streptophyta; Magnoliopsida; Zingiberales; Zingiberaceae. The record is from RefSeq and is a predicted model, not a curated record. The transcript has 3 exons.
GAUCCGAGUUGAGGCUUUACUAGAUGAAGCUGUGCGGCGUCGACUUCAAAACAAGCCUUAGGGAACUCAACCUACAGAAGUGCAUGAGGACGCAUUUCGUGAUGUUUUUGGACCCGAACAUUCUGGCCGAGUUCGAUGUUUAGGUGCUGGUGCACUUCCUAGCCAAGUUUUCCCUGAGCUGUGUAAGCGCACAAUCUAUACACCAAGUUAUCACUCUAAUUCAAAUAUGACAGCUGAAUUCAAGGAAAUGUAAGAAAAAAUAAAAGAAAUGGAGGCA